This 913-nucleotide ribosomal RNA is filed under the name uncultured archaeon. RNAcentral describes it as "bacterial SSU rRNA". It matches the Rfam family "Archaeal small subunit ribosomal RNA", at positions 1 to 922 of the family's 1478-position model. The record is from RNAcentral.
UUCCGGUUGAUCCUGCCGGACCUGACUGCUAUCGGAUUGAUACUAAGCCAUGCGAGUCUUUGUAGUAAUACAAGGCAGACGGCUCAGUAACACGUAGUCAAUCUACCCUAUGGACGAGGAUAACCUCGGGAAACUGAGAAUAAUACUCGAUAGAUCAUUAUGCCUGGAAAGGUUUAUGGUCGAAAUGAUUUAUCGCCGUAGGAUGGGACUGCGGUCUAUCAGUUUGUUGGUGAGGUAAUGGCCCACCAAGGCUAUAACAGAUACGGGCUCUGAGAGGGGAAGCCCGGAGAUGGGUACUGAGACACGGACCCAGGCCCUAUGGGGCGCAGCAGGCGAGAAAACUUUGCAAUGUGCGAAAGCACGACAAGGUUAAUCCGAGUGUUUUCUGCUAAGAAAUCUUUUGUCAGUCCUAAAAACACUGAUGAAUAAGGGGUGGGCAAGUUCUGGUGUCAGCCGCCGCGGUAAAACCAGCACCUCAAGUGGUCAGGAGGAUUAUUGGGCCUAAAGCAUCCGUAGCCGGCUCUGUAAGUUUUCCGUUAAAUCUAUACGCUCAACGUAUAGGCUGCCGGGAAUACUGCAUAGCUAGGGAGUGGGAGAGGUAGACGGUACUCGGUAGGAAGGGGUAAAAUCCUUUGAUCUAUUGAUGACCACCUGUGGCGAAGGCGGUCUACUAGAACACGUCCGACGGUGAGGGAUGAAAGCUGGGGGAGCAAACCGGAUUAGAUACCCGGGUAGUCCCAGCUGUAAACUAUGCAAACUCAGUGAUGCACUGGCUUGUGGCCAGUGCAGUGCCGCAGGGAAGCCGUUAAGUUUGCCGCCUGGGAAGUACGUACGCAAGUAUGAAACUUAAAGGAAUUGGCGGGGGAGCACCACAAGGGGUGAAGCCUGCGGUUCAAUUGGAGUCAACGCCGGG